RNAcentral lists this ribosomal RNA (459 nucleotides) under uncultured bacterium. RNAcentral's name for it is "partial 16S ribosomal RNA". It matches the Rfam family "Bacterial small subunit ribosomal RNA", at positions 338 to 795 of the family's 1533-position model. The record is from RNAcentral.
CCUACGGGGGGCAGCAGUGAGGAAUAUUGGUCAAUGGGCGUAAGCCUGAACCAGCCAAGUCGCGUGAGGGAUGAAGGUUCUAUGGAUCGUAAACCUCUUUUAUAAGGGAAUAAAGUGUGGGACGUGUCCUAUUUUGUAUGUACCUUAUGAAUAAGGAUCGGCUAACUCCGUGCCAGCAGCCGCGGUAAUACGGAGGAUCCGAGCGUUAUCCGGAUUUAUUGGGUUUAAAGGGUGCGUAGGCGGCCUUUUAAGUCAGCGGUGAAAGUCUGUGGCUCAACCCCAUCCAGCCGUUGAAACUGGGGAUCUAGAGUGUGCGAGAGGUAUGCGGAAUGCGUGGUGUAGCGGUGAAAUGCAUAGAUAUCACGCAGAACCCCGAUUGCGAAGGCAGCAUACCGGUGCACAACUGACGCUCAGGCACGAAAGCGUGGGGAGCAAACAGGAUUAGAUACCCCUGUAGUC